GAGUUUGAUCAUGGCUCAGGAUGAACGCUGGCGGCGUGCCUAACACAUGCAAGUCGAGCGGCAGCGAGUUUUACACUAAGUUCUGGAAGUGAUUCGAGAAUUUUGUGUAAAAUGUCGGCGAGCGGCGGACGGCUGAGUAGCGCGUGGGAACAUACCCCAAAGUGAGGGAUAACUGCCCGAAAGGGUGGCUAAUACCGCAUAUGAUCUUCGGAUUAAAGGAUUUAUCCGCUUUGGGAAUGGCCUGCGUCGGAUUAGGUAGUUGGUGAGGUAAAGGCUCACCAAGCCGACGAUCCGUAACUGGUUUGAGAGGAUGACCAGUCAGAUUGGAACUGAGACACGGUCCAGACUCCUACGGGAGGCAGCAGUGAGGAAUCUUCCACAAUGGGCGAAAGCCUGAUGGAGCAACGCCGCGUGCAGGAUGAAGGCCUUCGGGUGUAAACUGCUUU
Molecule: ribosomal RNA, 446 nt
Filed under: TM7 phylum sp. canine oral taxon 251
Lineage: Bacteria; Candidatus Saccharimonadota
Description: bacterial SSU rRNA
Rfam family: Bacterial small subunit ribosomal RNA
Source: RNAcentral